This 447-nucleotide ribosomal RNA is filed under the name uncultured bacterium. RNAcentral's name for it is "bacterial SSU rRNA". It matches the Rfam family "Bacterial small subunit ribosomal RNA", at positions 355 to 825 of the family's 1533-position model. The record is from RNAcentral.
UGGGGAAUCUUGCACAAUGGGGGCAACCCUGAUGCAGCGACGCCGCGUGAGCGAUGAAGCCCUUCGGGGUGUAAAGCUCUUUCGGCAGGGAAGAUAAUGACGGUACCUGCAGAAUCAGCUGCGGCUAACUACGUGCCAGCAGCCGCGGUAAUACGUAGGGUGCAGGCGUUAAUCGGAAUUACUGGGCGUAAAGCGUGCGCAGGCGGUUUGUUAAGACAGGUGUGAAAUCCCCGGGCUUAACCUGUGAAUUGCGCUUGUAACUGGCAGGCUAGAGUGUGGCAGAGGGGGGUGGAAUUCCACGUGUAGCAGUGAAAUGCGUAGAUAUGUGGAGGAACACCGAUGGCGAAGGCAGCCCCCUGGGUUAACACUGACGCUCAUGCACGAAAGCGUGGGGAGCAAACAGGAUUAGAUACCCGUGUAGUCCCUGAGCGGGCUGGCAAGGCGCAU